UGUUUGUAUUUAUUUUCGCAUGCAAUAUAUGUCUGAGUUCACCGCGGACUUCUCCGUCUUCAUCUUCACGAGACCCCUCUAAGCCUCGAAUCCUCCAAGCGAGUCGAGCUCAUCUACAAUCAACAGAAGGAUAUAAAAGUUUUAAAGUAUUGAAUAAAGCUUAAGAAGUGGGGAUCGGAAGACUCAAUUUCCCCUUUUUGAUGUUGGAUUUUAUUUGUAAUGGGCCUAAGACCUUGUCCUUCUUUUCUCCUUAUUUUCCAUAUUAUUUGUAUUUAUUAUUUAGUCUCGGACAGUUACAACAGAAAAUGGGUCAAGAGCCAAAAGACA
This 327-nucleotide unclassified non-coding RNA is filed under the name Hevea brasiliensis (rubber tree). Lineage: Eukaryota; Viridiplantae; Streptophyta; Magnoliopsida; Malpighiales; Euphorbiaceae. The record is from RNAcentral.